CGCCGAGUUUUCCAUUCCUUCUGGAUCGCGGCUGCCAAGCCAGGAGUGGUGUUUAUGGCGAGAUGAUGUCUCAACUUCACGUUCCUGCUGCAAUGUACCUGGAUCCCUUCCAGACCUGGUGAGCCCUCUGCAAAUGCGCACUCGCCGUUUGAGGGCGGCCUCCACGCGACGCAGCUCAGAGGCACAAAGAGAUACAGAUGUGGAAUGAAGAGCCCCCACCUCAGCUGCUCCAAGUACUUACAAGGAUCCGCAGGGGGCGCGUGACACAGAGGGUCACGGAAACGCUACCGAAG
Long non-coding RNA from Prionailurus viverrinus (fishing cat), 293 nucleotides. RefSeq lists it as uncharacterized. The transcript has 3 exons. The record is from RefSeq and is a predicted model, not a curated record. Lineage: Eukaryota; Metazoa; Chordata; Mammalia; Carnivora; Felidae.